Molecule: ribosomal RNA, 482 nt
Filed under: uncultured bacterium
Lineage: Bacteria
Description: partial 16S ribosomal RNA
Rfam family: Bacterial small subunit ribosomal RNA
Source: RNAcentral
AUUGAACGCUGGCGGCAUGCCUUACACAUGCAAGUCGAACGGUAACAGGUCUUCGGAUGCUGACGAGUGGCGAACGGGUGAGUAAUACAUCGGAACGUGCCCGAUCGUGGGGGAUAACGAGGCGAAAGCUUUGCUAAUACCGCAUACGAUCUACGGGUGAAAGCGGGGGAUCUUCGGACCUCGCGCGGACGGAGCGGCCGAUGGCAGAUUAGGUAGUUGGUGGGAUAAAAGCUUACCAAGCCGACGAUCUGUAGCUGGUCUGAGAGGAUGAUCAGCCACACUGGGACUGAGACACGGCCCAGACUCCUACGGGAGGCAGCAGUGGGGAAUUUUGGACAAUGGGCGAAAGCCUGAUCCAGCCAUGCCGCGUGCAGGAUGAAGGCCUUUGGGUUGUAAACUGCUUUUGUACGGAACGAAAAGCCUCUUUCUAAUAAAGAGGGGUCAUGACGGUACCGUAAGAAUAAGCACCGGCUAACUACGUG